This 373-nucleotide ribosomal RNA is filed under the name uncultured bacterium. RNAcentral describes it as "bacterial SSU rRNA". It matches the Rfam family "Bacterial small subunit ribosomal RNA", at positions 523 to 898 of the family's 1533-position model. The record is from RNAcentral.
AUACGGAGGGUGCAAGCGUUAUCCGGAAUCACUGGGUUUAAAGGGUGCGUAGGCGGCUUAGUAAGUCAGUGGUGAAAGGCUGUGGCUUAACCAUGGAAUUGCCAUUGAUACUGCAGAGCUUGAAUGAGGUUGAGGUUGGCGGAAUGUGACAUGUAGCGGUGAAAUGCUUAGAUAUGUCAUGGAACACCGAUUGCGAAGGCAGCUGACUGGACCUAUAUUGACGCUGAGGCACGAACGCGUGGGGAGCGAACAGGAUUAGAUACCCUGGUAGUCCACGCCCUAAACGAUGCUUACUCGUUGUUUGACUGAAAAGUUGAGUGACUAAGAGAAAUCGAUAAGUAAGCCACCUGGGGAGUACGACCGCAAGGUUGAA